AAACCAACAGGGAUUGCCUUAGUAACGGCGAGUGAAGCGGCAAAAGCUCAAAUUUGAAAUCUGGCACCUUCGGUGUCCGAGUUGUAAUUUGAAGAAGGUAACUUUGGAGUUGGCUCUUGUCUAUGUUCCUUGGAACAGGACGUCACAGAGGGUGAGAAUCCCGUGCGAUGAGAUGCCCAAUUCUAUGUAAAGUGCUUUCGAAGAGUCGAGUUGUUUGGGAAUGCAGCUCUAAGUGGGUGGUAAAUUCCAUCUAAAGCUAAAUAUUGGCGAGAGACCGAUAGCGAACAAGUACAGUGAUGGAAAGAUGAAAAGAACUUUGAAAAGAGAGUGAAAAAGUACGUGAAAUUGUUGAAAGGGAAGGGCUUGAGAUCAGACUUGGUAUUUUGCGAUCCUUUCCUUCUUGGUUGGGUUCCUCGCAGCUUACUGGGCCAGCAUCGGUUUGGAUGGUAGGAUAAUGACUAAGGAAUGUGGCUCUACUUCGGUGGAGUGUUAUAGCCUUGGUUGAUACUGCCUGUCUAGACCGAGGACUGCGUCUU
This 536-nucleotide ribosomal RNA is filed under the name Debaryomyces hansenii. Its description in RNAcentral is "eukaryotic LSU rRNA". It matches the Rfam family "Eukaryotic large subunit ribosomal RNA", at positions 62 to 603 of the family's 3401-position model. The record is from RNAcentral. Lineage: Eukaryota; Fungi; Ascomycota; Pichiomycetes; Serinales; Debaryomycetaceae.